GAACUAACAGGUUCACCGUCUUCAUCCAAGCGAAGCCAUGGCGUUGGUUUUUUAUUUGGGGGAAAAUGCUCCUGAUAAGGUGCUGCAUUCAAUCUAUGCUAAGUUGGAAAAUUUCAAAGUCCAGGGUGAUCAAUUUGCCAUGAAGAUUAUGGAGAGGCUGAAGUUAAUUUGAUAUUUGACUCCUGCACGGAGAAAAAAGAGAUGGUAAAUAAUAUGAUUAACAUAACUCUACAAGCACUAUUUACUACUAAAGGCACUUUGUUGAAAUGUAUUAUAGAUUAUAUCAAAUGGCAUAUAUACAGCAAAGUUGGUCGCCUUUGACCAAUUCAGCAAGCAAAAAAUCUAGAUUAUCAAAACUGAUAUCUCCAAGGCAUUUAGGCAAAAGAGUAUACAGUAUCUUGUGUUGAAAAGAGCUUUGCUUGUGAUAGCCAGAAUCUUCAUGCAUGUGUAUCCAUUUGGAAGGAGACCAAUAACAUUUAGAAGUGCAAUUACUAUAAUAAAUUAUGAUUCUACUUGUCAUUAGUGGGAAGAGAAACAGAGGCUUCAAUCAUCAAGAUCACCACUUUAACCUUCUUGGUCAUGCAUGGAGAUUGUUUACAGAAGGCAAAGGCUAUGAAAAUUGUUUGUAAUGCAACAAGAGACACAUCGAAUUUAUUACAGGCAGAUGCUAUUGUGGACUGGUUGUUGUAUUUGGAAAUAUGGAAAACGCCAAGCAAGAAGCAAUUAAGGCUAAUUCAGGUGGAGAACUUUUAAUUGAUACAAAAUAUGAGCCAUUGAUCCCUAAGAAAGAGAAGUCAACUCAAUCAAAGAAGUUUUAGUUUUUUUAAGGGUUUUUUGUUUUUUCUACUUUAUGUAAUGAAAAAUUUUUUUCGCUUGAUUUUUGCAUACAUUUAGCAUCAUUGGCUAUAAAAUCAUCGAUGUACAUUUGGAUUGUAAAUC
Arachis ipaensis is the source of this 939-nucleotide non-coding RNA. NCBI's taxonomy places the organism in Eukaryota, Viridiplantae, Streptophyta, Magnoliopsida, Fabales, Fabaceae. The record is from RefSeq and is a predicted model, not a curated record.